Molecule: ribosomal RNA, 492 nt
Filed under: uncultured bacterium
Lineage: Bacteria
Description: partial 16S ribosomal RNA
Rfam family: Bacterial small subunit ribosomal RNA
Source: RNAcentral
AUUGAACGCUGGCGGCAUGCUUUACACAUGCAAGUCGAACGGUAACAGGCCUUCGGGUGCUGACGAGUGGCGAACGGGUGAGUAAUGCAUCGGAACGUGCCCAGAGGUGGGGGAUAACGCAGCGAAAGCUGUGCUAAUACCGCAUGUGAUCUGAGGAUGAAAGCGGGGGACCAGGCAGCAUUUUUUGGCCUCGCGCCUUUGGAGCGGCCGAUGUCAGAUUAGGUAGUUGGUGGGGUAAAGGCCUACCAAGCCGACGAUCUGUAGCUGGUCUGAGAGGACGACCAGACACACUGGGACUGAGACACGGCCCAGACUCCUACGGGAGGCAGCAGUGGGGAAUUUUGGACAAUGGGCGCAAGCCUGAUCCAGCAAUGCCGCGUGCGGGAAGAAGGCCUUCGGGUUGUAAACCGCUUUUGUACGGAACGAAAAGGCUCUGGCUAAUACCUGGGGCUGAUGACGGUACCGGAAGAAUAAGCACCGGCUAACUACGUG